This 868-nucleotide ribosomal RNA is filed under the name uncultured archaeon. RNAcentral describes it as "bacterial SSU rRNA". It matches the Rfam family "Archaeal small subunit ribosomal RNA", at positions 1 to 878 of the family's 1478-position model. The record is from RNAcentral.
CUCCGGGUGAUCCCGCCGGACCCGACUGCUAUCAGAGUGGGACUAAGCCAUGCGAGUCAACAUAGCAAUAUGUGGCAUACGGCUCAGUAACACGUAGUCAACAUGCCCAGGGGACGUGGAUAACCUCGGGAAACUGAGGAUAAACCGCGAUAGGUCAUCACUUCUGGAAUGGGUAAUGACUUAAAUCUAUAUGGCCCCUGGAUUGGACUGCGGCCGAUCAGGCUGUUGGUGAGGUAAUGGCCCACCAAACCUGUAACCGGUACGGGCUCUGAGAGGAGGAGCCCGGAGAUGGGCACUGAGACAAGGGCCCAGGCCCUAUGGGGCGCAGCAGGCGCGAAACCUCUGCAAUAGGCGAAAGCUUGACAGGGUUACUCUGAGUGAUUUCCGUUAAGGAGAUCUUUUGGCACCUCUAAAAAUGGUGCAGAAUAAGGGGUGGGCAAGUCUGGUGUCAGCCGCCGCGGUAAUACCAGCACCCCGAGUGGUCGGGACGUUUAUUGGGCCUAAAGCAUCCGUAGCCGGUUCUACAAGUCUUCCGUUAAAUCCACCUGCUUAACAGAUGGGCUGCGGAAGAUACUAUAGAGCUAGGAGGCGGGAGAGGCAAGCGGUACUCGAUGGGUAGGGGUAAAAUCCGUUGAUCCAUUGAAGACCACCAGUGGCGAAGGCGGCUUGCCAGAACGCGCUCGACGGUGAGGGAUGAAAGCUGGGGGAGCAAACCGGAUUAGAUACCCGGGUAGUCCCAGCUGUAAACGAUGCAGACUCGGUGAUGAGUUGGCUUAUUGCUAACUCAGUGCCGCAGGGAAGCCGUUAAGUUUGCCGCCUGGGGAGUACGGUCGCAAGACUGAAACUUAAAGGAAUUGGCGGGGGAGCA